RNAcentral lists this transfer RNA (68 nucleotides) under Potamilus streckersoni. Its description in RNAcentral is "tRNA-Asn". Lineage: Eukaryota; Metazoa; Mollusca; Bivalvia; Unionida; Unionidae. The record is from RNAcentral.
AGGGUAAAAGCUUCCACACCAAAGCAACUGGCUGUUAACCAGUAGACCGCAACAAUUCGCUUACCCUC